This 562-nucleotide ribosomal RNA is filed under the name uncultured bacterium. Its description in RNAcentral is "bacterial SSU rRNA". It matches the Rfam family "Bacterial small subunit ribosomal RNA", at positions 224 to 800 of the family's 1533-position model. The record is from RNAcentral.
GAUGAGUUUGCGCUCGAUUAGCUAGUUGGUGAGGUAAUGGCUCACCAAGGCGACGAUCGAUAGCUGGUCUGAGAGGACGGCCAGCCACACUGGGACUGAGACACGGCCCAGACUCCUACGGGAGGCAGCAGUAGGGAAUAUUGCACAAUGGAGGAAACUCUGAUGCAGCGACGCCGCGUGAGUGACGAAGGCCUUCGGGUCGUAAAGCUCUGUUCUCAGGGAAAAAGCAAGUGAUUGUACCUGAGAAGAAAGGACCGGCUAACUUCGUGCCAGCAGCCGCGGUAAGACGAGGGGUCCAAGCGUUGUUCGGAAUUAUUGGGCGUAAAGCGGGUGUAGGUGGCUAUCUAAGUCAGAAGUGAAAGCCCCAGGCUUAACCUGGGAAGUGCUUUUGAUACUGGAUAGCUUGAAUGUGGGAGAGGAUCGUGGAAUUCCAGGUGUAGUGGUGAAAUACGUAGAUAUCUGGAGGAACACCGGUGGCGAAGGCGGCGAUCUGGCCCAACAUUGACACUGAGACCCGAAAGCAUGGGGAUCAAACAGGAUUAGAUACCCUGGUAGUCCACGC